AUUGAACGCUGGCGGCGUGCUUAGCACAUGCAAGUCGAGCGGUAGCAGGCGUAGCAAUACGUGCUGACGAGCGGCGAACGGGUGAGUAAUGCUUCGGAAUCUUCCUAGUAGUGGGGAAUAACCUGGGGAAACUCAGGCUAAUACCGCAUACGACCUACGGGUGAAAGCAGGGGAUCGCAAGACCUUGCGCUAUUAGAUGAGCCGAAGUCGGAUUAGCUAGUUGGUGAGGUAAAGGCUCACCAAGGCGACGAUCCGUAGCUGGUCUGAGAGGACGACCAGCCACACUGGGACUGAGACACGGCCCAGAGUCCUACGGUAGGCAGGAGUGGGGAAUAUUGGACAAGGGGGGCAACCCUGAUCCAGCGACGCCGCGUGUGUGAAGAAGGCCUGCGGGUUGUAAAGCACUUUUAGUGGGGACAAAAAGCCAAGGGUUAAUACCCUUUGGUCUUGAUUUAACCCAAAGAAAAAGCACCGGCUAACUCUGUGCCAGCCGCCGCGGUAA
Molecule: ribosomal RNA, 502 nt
Filed under: uncultured bacterium
Lineage: Bacteria
Description: partial 16S ribosomal RNA
Rfam family: Bacterial small subunit ribosomal RNA
Source: RNAcentral